This 256-nucleotide ribosomal RNA is filed under the name uncultured Pelotomaculum sp. RNAcentral's name for it is "partial 16S ribosomal RNA". It matches the Rfam family "Bacterial small subunit ribosomal RNA", at positions 1127 to 1382 of the family's 1533-position model. Lineage: Bacteria; Bacillati; Bacillota; Clostridia; Eubacteriales; Desulfotomaculaceae. The record is from RNAcentral.
GAAGCUGAGCACUCUAGACGAACUGCCGUUGACAAAACGGAGGAAGGUGGGGAUGACGUCAAAUCAUCAUGCCCCUUAUGUUCUGGGCUACACACGUGCUACAAUGGCCGGUACAGACGGAGGCGAAGCCGCGAGGCGGAGCAAAUCCGAAAAAGCCGGUCUCAGUUCGGAUUGCAGGCUGCAAUUCGCCUGCAUGAAGUCGGAAUCGCUAGUAAUCGCAGGUCAGCAUACUGCGGUGAAUACGUUCCCGGGUCUU